Molecule: transfer RNA, 73 nt
Filed under: Marmota monax (woodchuck)
Lineage: Eukaryota; Metazoa; Chordata; Mammalia; Rodentia; Sciuridae
Description: tRNA.Ala
Source: RNAcentral
UGGAGUUGUAGCUCAGUGGUAGAGAACUUGCCUAGCAUGUGUGAAGCCCUGGGUUUGAUCCCCAGCACUACAA